CGUCGUCAGCUUACCCUGUGAAGGUUUAACAGUAAGCAAAAUGGGCACACCCAAAAACGUCAGGUCGAGGUGUAGCGUACGAAGUGGGAAGAAAUGGGCUACAUUUUCUUUACAAAGAAUAUUACGAAUGGUGUAAUGAAACAUAUACCUGAAGGUGGAUUUAGUAGUAAAAAGUAAACAGAGCGCACUUUUGAAUUAGGCUCUGAGACGCGCACACACCGCCCGUCACUCUCCCCUUAUAUAUACCAUCCAAACAUUCCUAAUAAUUUACAAACCAACACGGGGAGGCAAGUCGUAACAUGG
Molecule: ribosomal RNA, 303 nt
Filed under: Ageneiosus pardalis
Lineage: Eukaryota; Metazoa; Chordata; Actinopteri; Siluriformes; Auchenipteridae
Description: partial small subunit ribosomal RNA
Rfam family: Bacterial small subunit ribosomal RNA
Source: RNAcentral